UUCGUGUGAACAGUGGUUGAUCACGAGUUAGUCGGUCCUAAGUUCAAGGCGAAAGCCGAAAAUUUUCAAGUAUUCAAAAAUCAAAGUAUCUUUAGCUAAUUUCUAUUGAAUUUUUAAACACUUGAAUAAUUUUGAACGAAAGGGAAUACGGUUCCAAUUCCGUAACCUGUUGAGUAUCCGUUUGUUAUUAAAUAUGGGCCUCGUGCUCAUCCUGGCAACAGGAACGACCAUAAAGAAGCCGUCGAGAGGUAUCGGAAGAGUUUUCUUUUCUGUUUUAUAGCCGUACUACCAUGGAAGUCUUUCGCAGAGAGAUAUGGUAGAUGGGCUAGAAGAGCAUGACAUAUACUGUUGUGUCGAUAUUUUCUCCUCGGACCUUGAAAAUUUAUGGUGGGGAUACGCAAACUUCUCAACAGGCCGUACCAAUAUCCGCAGCUGGUCUCCAAGGUGAAGAGUCUCUAGUCGAUAGAAUA
RNAcentral lists this ribosomal RNA (470 nucleotides) under Dichaetophora sp. G2 (Toda). Its description in RNAcentral is "partial 28S ribosomal RNA". It matches the Rfam family "Eukaryotic large subunit ribosomal RNA", at positions 1508 to 1897 of the family's 3401-position model. The record is from RNAcentral. Lineage: Eukaryota; Metazoa; Arthropoda; Insecta; Diptera; Drosophilidae.